RNAcentral lists this ribosomal RNA (469 nucleotides) under uncultured bacterium. RNAcentral describes it as "partial 16S ribosomal RNA". It matches the Rfam family "Bacterial small subunit ribosomal RNA", at positions 28 to 507 of the family's 1533-position model. The record is from RNAcentral.
GACGAACGCUGGCGGCGUGCUUAACACAUGCAAGUCGAACGGAAAGGCCCUGCUUUUGUGGGGUGCUCGAGUGGCGAACGGGUGAGUAACACGUGAGUAACCUGCCCUUGACUUUGGGAUAACUUCAGGAAACUGGGGCUAAUACCGGAUAGGAGCUCCUGCUGCAUGGUGGGGGUUGGAAAGUUUCGGCGGUUGGGGAUGGACUCGCGGCUUAUCAGCUUGUUGGUGGGGUAGUGGCUUACCAAGGCUUUGACGGGUAGCCGGCCUGGGGGGGUGACCGGCCACACUGGGGCCUAGGGAAGGCCCCAGCUCCUAACGGGGGGAAGAGGGGGGAAGUUUGCACAAUGGGCGGGAGCCUGGUGCAGCAACGCCGCGGGCCGGAAUACGGGCUUCGGGGUGUAAACCGCUUUCGCCUGUGACGAAGCGUGAGUGGACGUUAUGGGUUAAGAAAGACCCGCCUAACUCGGUG